CCUACGGGCGGCAGCAGUAGGGAAUUUUGCGCAAUGGGCGAAAGCCUGACGCAGCAACGCCGCGUGAUUGAUUAAGCCCUUCGGGGUGUAAAGAUCUGUCAGUGGGGACGAAACUUGACGGUACCCACAGAGGAAGCACCGGCUAACUCCGGGCCAGCAGCCGCGGGAAGACGGAGGGGGCAAGCGUUGUCCGGAAUCAUUGGGCGUAAAGGGUGCGGAGGUGGCAUAGAAAGUAUGGUGUUAAAUGGAGGAGCUCAACUUCUGUUAGGCACUGGAUACUGGUCAGCUUGAAUGCGGUAGAGGUAAAGGGAAUUCCUGGUGUAGCGGUGAAAUGCGUAGAUAUCAGGAGGAACAUCGGGGGCGUAAGCGCUUUAAUGGGCUGUAAUUGACACUGAGGAACGAAAGCCGGGGUAGCAAAUGGGAUUAGAUACCCUUGUAGUC
RNAcentral lists this ribosomal RNA (441 nucleotides) under uncultured bacterium. RNAcentral describes it as "partial 16S ribosomal RNA". It matches the Rfam family "Bacterial small subunit ribosomal RNA", at positions 338 to 795 of the family's 1533-position model. The record is from RNAcentral.